UACUCGCGGUCCAAGUCGCAGCCAUCAUUAUUGGGUCUAAAACAUCCGUAGCUUGCUUAAUAAGUUUCUUGUGAAAUUCCAUGUCUCAAAUAUGGAGCGGGCAAGAAGUACUGUUAAGCUAGAGACUGGAAGACGUAAGAAGUACGUUUGGAGUAGCGGUAAAAUGUGUUAAUCCCAGACGGACUAACAACAGCGAAGGCAUCUUACGAGGACAGUUCUGACAGUAAGGGAUGAAGGCUAGGGGCGCAAAAGGGAUUAGAUACCCGGGUAGGUCCCUGA
Molecule: ribosomal RNA, 279 nt
Filed under: uncultured prokaryote
Description: partial 16S ribosomal RNA
Rfam family: Archaeal small subunit ribosomal RNA
Source: RNAcentral